UCAGGAUGAACGCUGGCGGCGUGCUAACACAUGCAAGUCGAGCGAAGCGAUUCAAAUGAAGUUUCGGAUGGAUUUGAAUUGACUUAGCGGCGGACGGGUGAGUAACGCGUGGGUAACCUGCCUCAUACAGGGGGAUAACAGUUGGAAACGGCUGCUAAUACCGCAUAAGCACACAGUGCCGCAUGGUACGGUGUGAAAAACUCCGGUGGUAUGAGAUGGACCCGCGUCUGAUUAGGUAGUUGGUGAGGUAACGGCCCACCAAGCCGACGAUCAGUAGCCGACCUGAGAGGGUGACCGGCCACAUUGGGACUGAGACACGGCCCAAACUCCUACGGGAGGCAGCGGUGGGGAAUAUUGGACAAUGGGGGAAACCCUGAUCCAAGCGACGCCGCGUGAGUGAAGAAGUAUUUCGGUAUGUAAAGCUCUAUCAGCAGGGAAGAAAAUGACGGUACCUGACUAAGAAGCCCCGGCUAACUACGUGCCAGCAGCCGC
This 492-nucleotide ribosomal RNA is filed under the name uncultured bacterium. Its description in RNAcentral is "bacterial SSU rRNA". It matches the Rfam family "Bacterial small subunit ribosomal RNA", at positions 24 to 518 of the family's 1533-position model. The record is from RNAcentral.